Molecule: long non-coding RNA, 3946 nt
Organism: Oncorhynchus kisutch (coho salmon)
Lineage: Eukaryota; Metazoa; Chordata; Actinopteri; Salmoniformes; Salmonidae
Exons: 2
Source: RefSeq, a predicted model, not a curated record
UUUAGGGAAGGGGUGGGGGAUAGUUUGCAGGAUGGGGGGGGGUUUGAAACUUGGCCACAUCCUAAUAGUCUUGGACAGACUAAUUUCCUUGCCUCCUUCCUUCACAUCCAUUAACGAGAAAGGAUUCAGUGAGGUCCACCAUAGACGAGAAAGGAUUCAGUGAGGUCCACCAUAGACGAUAAAGGAUUCAGUAAGGUCCACCAUAGACGAUAAAGGAUUCAGUGAGGCCCACCAUAGACGAUAAAGGAUUCAGUGAGGCCCACCAUAGACGAUAAAGGAUUCAGUGAGGUCCACCAUAGACGAUAAAGGAUUCAGUAAGGUCACCAUAGACGAUAAAGGAUUCAGUGAGGCCCACCAUAGACGAUAAAGGAUUCAGUGAGGUCCACCAUAGACGAUAAAGGAUUCAGUGAGGUCCACCAUAGACGAUAAAGGAUUCAGUGAGGUCCACCUUAGACGAUAAAGGAUUCAGUGAGGUCCACCAUAGACGAGAAAGGAUUCAGUGAGGUCCACCAUAGACGUCGCCUCAUUGUAUCGGUCACUCAUCAGUGAGUGCAUGGGCAGUGCCAUUGAGGCCAUCUCAAUUUUGAAGUAGUCCCAUUUUUCUUCUUCUACUACUUAUAUGAGUUGGUAAACAAACUGAAUGGGUGCGUACUGCCCCCUGGAGGGUGUUGUCGGGAACAGGUAUAACGCCAAGGUUGAUGAUUUACUGCCCUCUGCGCAGUGAUGGAACGUUUACUCACGAGUAUAAUUAAUUGGCUGAUCCUUCCCAAUGACAUGGAUGGAAUUAUGUGAUCCUUCCCUCUUAAAUGUUAAAUUAAAGAUUCACCCAUUUUUAAUGUUAUAUUGUUUUUGUGCAUCUUUGAGCGAUGUUCUAUCGUUUCCUGGGGGGUCAUUUCAUGUUUAAUCUCUGAGCUAUUGCCAUAAAAGCAGGCAAAAAUCCAUCCGGUUUGACGUAGCGUAGUUAAUGGGAACACGAGUUUUAAAUCGCGAAAACUUCUAUCAUGUAUGUCUGAUUUCAAUACUGCUCGAUGUCAACGCGGGAGGUUGUCUUCUCAUUGAUCAUAUUUUAGCGAUAUUCCUACUUCUACAAAUGUGUAAUUUAACAGGAGGGUCCAACACAUCUCUCCUGUUUGCCUCUUCAGUCUAGGGGUGAGUUGCAGGUGCCGUUGUUGAAUGUCAGACUCAUCAACAUCAAUCUGCAGUUUGAACAUGGUGAGAUUGUAGACUCCUAAAUUGAUCGUGCAGUUUGUUAAUAAGGUGAUUUUUACAGCUAGCUAGCUACUUGACAUGCUGAUAUUGACUUUGGUAUUAUUGGGUGAAGCUACGCUUGCUUGCCAGCCCAUCGAGCGCACUGCAUUGUGGGUUUUGUAGUCGACUUGGUCGGCAACAGAUAUCCACAACGAUUUUCAAGUUGCAACCAACCUUAUUAUAGUGACAAAAUGUACCAUUUGUUCACAAAUAAAUAUUGUUCUCACAGUGUUAUUUAACACUGUGAAUUAUAGGAAUGAGUAGUUAUUAGAGUUUUAUUUUAAGGGCACUUUAAACGGUUCUGGACUGGUUCAAUCAAGAUGUUUUGUGUUCCAUGUGUCCUUGAGAUCUAUUGAGCAGUCGGUCAGAAAUCCUGGUCAUCGGCUACAUGUCAUAUUAAACAGAAUAUUAACACUAAAUAGGUCAGGAGCCAAACAGGAAGUCUAAGAAGGAACCAAAGUGAAUUAUUUCGGCUGUGUUGUUUGAAGGCUAUAGCCUACAAAGAAAUACAUUGUGAAGAAUUUGCGAGUGUGACACAAUAUGCUGGUAGGGACAUAAAAGCGGCAAUGAAACAUUUCGUUGUAUUAAAUCAUUAUAGUCAACAACAACAAAAAAUACGCAUAUAGGCUGUGACUUACUUUAGAAUGAAAGAUAAUUUUAACGGAAAAAAAAUGCCUCGUUAGGCUCAGUCUACAGUGCCUUUUGAAUUCAUUUUUAAGAAACACGAGUCUGGCCAGUCUGGGGCUUCAGGUUCAUGGGACGGUGCCUGGAGAACCGUACAACACCGGCCAACCGGAAAAUGUCUCUGUGCUGGCAGAGCCACUGGGGACGCUACACACCCGUUUGGCCACUCUUGGCAGACUGUCCGGAGAUGCAGAGUUGUUUUAAAAGAACCCAAUCCAAACAGAAAGCUCCUUGAACGUGGGAAUAUGUCAGGCCGAUUGGGCCAAAAUCAAUGAUGGCCUUUUGUAUAGAGAAUAGAACAUUCAUGAAGGUAACUUUGAAUAGAUCCGAUUUUUUAGUUUAUAAAUACUUUGCUACAAUGAAAUAAAGGUAAAAUAAAAAAAUAAAAUAAAAUGACACACUUCGUUGCUUAUCGUUUUCUACCCACCUCGUUCCCUUCUGUUAGCAUGUGGACGUGUUACGUACACCGUUAUAUGCUUCCAGGAUUACGUGUCUUCUCAGAUUCCGCAGUGAUUCUUUAGUUGUGGACGUUACAUCACCACACUCCCUCUCUUGGUCCUCAUCUUUGUAAGUCACCUUUCGAUUGUGCACCUGUGUGUUCUAUCAGUUUCUGUAGGCAACCAUUUAGUGAACUCCGUGAACAGUAGCUAAAGCAAGGGGCACACAAACAGAUGACUUGAUGUGAGCGCUACCGGAAGAACUACGCUCCAUAUACUCUGUCGUGUACAGAGCGCUCUGUGAACGGCGCAACAUCAAUUGCUGUACACUCGGUGACAGCUCCGGUUGUCCCGCUUCACAUACCUUUCUCCGCUCGCGUCUGAAUUGCAGUAUGUCAAAUCUGACACUUCUAUUUGCAUAGGGGAGCAACACAUCACAUGUUCUGGCCUAUCCAGACCACGGAUCCCCUGGUUGUGAACCUUCCAGCUCUGCUGACAUUACGGCAUAUGAAAUGCGACUCUAGCAGACAGGCUCAUCUCACUAAUAUUAUCAUGCCGAAAUGUAGAACUCUCGAUAUGAAACAAUACUAAAUUAUCUCGUAGAAUUGAAAUAAGAUCACUUUCUUCUUGGUCACAGAGGGACGAAUUCACCUGAUGCGUAAAGCUGAAGUUGUAAUGAGUCAGUAGACGUUUUGAAUGGUGUCUCUGCGCCUCAGAAGACGCUGGACAGAAAAUGUCAUCUGUCAUCAGUUAUAUGAAAUGGGGCUUAUUAUUAUAAAUUAUGUCACUAAGUAUGAUUAUAUUUCUUUCACAGUUAUAAAAAAAGGUGAAAUAUUAUAGUAAGUAGUUUAAUUUGAUUGUUAGUGUAUUUAGAAAGCAUGAUGAAGAGAUGUAUUGUGUGUCUGGGAGAGGUAUAUGUUAAAACGACCAGGUUGGAUGAUGAUGAAGCGAUGUAUUGUGUGUCUGGGAGGGGUAUAUGUUAAAACGACCAGGUUGGAUGAUGAUGAAGCGAUGUAUUGUGUGUCUGGGAGGGGUAUAUGUUAAAACGACCAGGUUGGAUGAUGAUGAAGAGAUGUAUUGUGUGUCUGGGAGGGGUAUAUGUUAAAACAACCAGGUUUGAUGAUGAUGAUGAAGAGAUGUAUUGUGUGUCUGGGAGGGGUAUAUGUUAAAACAACCAGGUUUGAUGAUGAUGAUGAAGAGAUGUAUUGUGUGUCUGGGAGGGGUAUAUGUUAAAACGACCAGGUUGGAUGAUGAUGAAGAGAUGUAUUGUGUGUCUGGGAGGGGUAUAUGUUAAAACAACCAGGUUUGAUGAUGAUGAUGAAGAGAUGUAUUGUGUGUCUGGGAGGGGUAUAUGUUAAAACGACCAGGUUGGAUGAUGAUGAAGAGAUGUAUUGUGUGUCUGGGAGGGGUAUAUGUUAAAACAACCAGGUUUGAUGAUGAUGAAGAGAUGUAUUGUGUGUCUGGGAGGGGUAUAUGUUAAAACGACCUGGUUUGAUGAUGAUGAAGAUAUCUGUGAGUGUUAUGGUUUGUAUCUGCAACAAUACAUCAAACAGUGAGAAUAAAAGAUGACAUCUUGA